GGGUUGUGAGGUUAAGCGACUAAGCGUACACGGUGGAUGCCCUGGCAGUCAGAGGCGAUGAAGGACGUGCUAAUCUGCGAUAAGCGUCGGUAAGGUGAUAUGAACCGUUAUAACCGGCGAUUUCCGAAUGGGGAAACCCAGUGUGUUUCGACACACUAUCAUUAACUGAAUCCAUAGGUUAAUGAGGCGAACC
RNAcentral lists this ribosomal RNA (193 nucleotides) under Escherichia coli. Its description in RNAcentral is "partial 23S ribosomal RNA". It matches the Rfam family "Bacterial large subunit ribosomal RNA", at positions 1 to 185 of the family's 2925-position model. Lineage: Bacteria; Pseudomonadati; Pseudomonadota; Gammaproteobacteria; Enterobacterales; Enterobacteriaceae. The record is from RNAcentral. RNAcentral also lists the same sequence under 1 other name.